RNAcentral lists this ribosomal RNA (498 nucleotides) under uncultured bacterium. RNAcentral's name for it is "partial 16S ribosomal RNA". It matches the Rfam family "Bacterial small subunit ribosomal RNA", at positions 28 to 507 of the family's 1533-position model. The record is from RNAcentral.
GACGAACGCUGGCGGCGUGCCUAAUACAUGCAAGUCGAACGAGAGCGACCGGUGCUUGCACUGGUCAAUCUAGUGGCGAACGGGUGAGUAACACGUGGGUAACCUGCCCAUCAGAGGGGGAUAACAUCCGGAAACGGAUGCUAAAACCGCAUAGGUCUUCGAGCCGCAUGGCUUGAAGAGGAAAAGAGGCGCAAGCUUCUGCUGAUGGAUGGACCCGCGGUGCAUUAGCUAGUUGGUGAGGUAACGGCUCACCAAGGCCGUGAUGCAUAGCCGACCUGAGAGGGUGAUCGGCCACAUUGGGACUGAGACACGGCCCAAACUCCUACGGGAGGCAGCAGUAGGGAAUCUUCCGCAAUGGACGCAAGUCUGACGGAGCAACGCCGCGUGAGUGAAGAAGGUGUUCGGAUCGUAAAACUCUGUUGUUAGAGAAGAACAAGUGCUAGAGUAACUGUUAGCGCCUUGGCGGUAUCUAACCAGAAAGCCACGGCUAACUACGUG